This is a long non-coding RNA of Phyllostomus discolor (pale spear-nosed bat), 261 nucleotides long. RefSeq lists it as uncharacterized. Lineage: Eukaryota; Metazoa; Chordata; Mammalia; Chiroptera; Phyllostomidae. The record is from RefSeq and is a predicted model, not a curated record. The transcript is spliced from 3 exons.
UUAUGGAUUCUGACCUGCAGAGUCUGUGUGUUGUGGCUGAAGAUGAGAACAAAUGCACACAGACUACAGAAGUCCUGUGGAGAAAAAGGGACAGUACAGGUACUCUCUUAACAUGAGAGUCCUAUGGCUGCUUCUCUCAAGGGAAGAGUGCCCAGACCCUUGCCUGGACAGGCUUUUAUUAUUUUUCUCAGGUCUUAUUAUCUAUUACAUAGAAUGUUGUUGUCUACAUUUUAGGUACAAUCAAGGAAAUGAAAAUAACAA